RNAcentral lists this long non-coding RNA (209 nucleotides) under Mytilus galloprovincialis (Mediterranean mussel). Lineage: Eukaryota; Metazoa; Mollusca; Bivalvia; Mytilida; Mytilidae. The record is from RNAcentral.
AAAACCGUUACCAUUUUGUUUGUAUAGUACCUUGACAGUUGAAAGACCACAUAUAGGUAUGUAAUGGUAUUUAUUACAAACCGAAAGAGCCAUGUCAAAUGAUAGAAAGACAAACAAGGACAAAAAAUAAAUAACAAUUAAGGUGAUCAUGCCGAACUGAUAUUGGGUCAUUCAAUAAAUUGUACUGCAAUACACAAUUAUACAACACG